This 253-nucleotide ribosomal RNA is filed under the name uncultured bacterium. RNAcentral describes it as "partial 16S ribosomal RNA". It matches the Rfam family "Bacterial small subunit ribosomal RNA", at positions 524 to 776 of the family's 1533-position model. The record is from RNAcentral.
GACAGAGGGUGCAAACGUUGCUCGGAAUUACUGGGCGUAAAGCGCGUGUAGGCGGACUGGCGCGUCGGCUGUGAAAUCCCCAGGCUCAACCUGGGAACUGCAUUCGAAACUGCCAGCCUUGAGUGGUGGAGAGGGAAGUGGAAUUCCUGGUGUAGAGGUGAAAUGCGUAGAGAUCAGGAAGAACAUCGGUGGCGAAGGCGCUCUGCUGGACCAUAACUGACACUCAGGGACGAAAGCUAGGGGAGCGAAUGGG